Molecule: long non-coding RNA, 182 nt
Filed under: Mustela putorius furo (domestic ferret)
Lineage: Eukaryota; Metazoa; Chordata; Mammalia; Carnivora; Mustelidae
Description: lncRNA (ENSMPUG00000025459.1)
Source: RNAcentral
GGGCCAGGCAGGAGGCGCUGCGACUCCCCGGCUGAUUCAAACAGGGAGUUCAGAUGAGCUGAACUAACCCGGAGAUCACGAACUGAAAGAAGCACCUACUGCUGUUCCAGAAAGGGGGACUAAUUGAUGGACAGCAUCUAUCACGGAGUGCUGUGAACCCUGGAAAAGGUUGACAGUGGAGG